GACGAACGCUGGCGGCGUGCUUAACACAUGCAAGUCGAACGGAAAGGCCCUGCUUUUGUGGGGUGCUCGAGUGGCGAACGGGUGAGUAACACGUGAGUAACCUGCCCUUGACUUUGGGAUAACUUCAGGAAACUGGGGCUAAUACCGGAUAGGAGCUCCUGCUGCAUGGUGGGGGUUGGAAAGUUUCGGCGGUUGGGGAUGGACUCGCGGCUUAUCAGCUUGUUGGUGGGGUAGUGGCUUACCAAGGCUUUGACGGGUAGCCGGCCUGAGAGGGUGACCGGCCACAUGGGGACUGAGAUACGGCCCAGACUCGUACGGGAGGCAGCAGUGGGGAAUAUUGCACAAUGGGCGGAAGCCUGAUGCAGCAACGCCGCGUGCGGGAUGACGGCCUUCGGGUUGUAAACCGCUUUCGCCUGUGACGAAGCGUGAGUGACGGUAAUGGGUAAAGAAGCACCGGCUAACUACGUG
RNAcentral lists this ribosomal RNA (468 nucleotides) under uncultured bacterium. Its description in RNAcentral is "partial 16S ribosomal RNA". It matches the Rfam family "Bacterial small subunit ribosomal RNA", at positions 28 to 507 of the family's 1533-position model. The record is from RNAcentral.